Molecule: ribosomal RNA, 494 nt
Filed under: uncultured bacterium
Lineage: Bacteria
Description: bacterial SSU rRNA
Rfam family: Bacterial small subunit ribosomal RNA
Source: RNAcentral
CUCAGGAUGAACGCUAGCUACAGGCUUAACACAUGCAAGUCGAGGGCAGCGGAAGAGCUGCUUCUUGCCGGCGACCGGCGCACGGGUGAGUAACGCGUAUCCAACCUGCCCGCGGCUCAGGGAUAGCCUCGUGAAAACGAGAUUAAUACCUGAUGGCCUUGAAGAUUGACAUCGAUUUCAAGUAAAGAUUUAUCGGCAGCGGAUGGGGAUGCGUCAUUAGGUGUGGCGGGUAACGCCCACCAAGCCGACGAUGGAUAGGGGUUCUGAGAGGAAGGUCCCCCACAUUGGAACUGAGGCACGGUCCAAACUCCUACGGGAGGCAGCAGUGAGGAAUAUUGGUCAAUGGGCGAGAGCCUGAACCAGCCAAGUAGCGUGAGGGGAAUGACUGCCCUAUGGGUUGUAAACCUCUUUUAUACGGGAAUAAAAUGCGCCACGUGUGGCGUUUUGCAUGUACCGUAAGAAUAAGCAUCGGCUAAUUCCGUGCCAGCAGCUGC